GCCUGUGGCUCAGUGGUCGUGCACUUGCCUGGCAUGUGUGAGGCACUGAGUUCAAUUCUCAGCACCGCA
This 69-nucleotide transfer RNA is filed under the name Marmota monax (woodchuck). RNAcentral describes it as "tRNA.Ala". The record is from RNAcentral. Lineage: Eukaryota; Metazoa; Chordata; Mammalia; Rodentia; Sciuridae.